AGCUUUGUGCAGUGGCAUUAUCAUAGCCAAUAAGGUGUAUUGGAGGCACGAUUAUUGCUAAUUGAAGAAAAAAUAAAAUGGCUGUCUACAAGAAAUACCGUGCACUAAAAUCUGAUGUUUUUUGUGAUAC
RNAcentral lists this small nuclear RNA (130 nucleotides) under Myotis davidii. Its description in RNAcentral is "U4 spliceosomal RNA". It matches the Rfam family "U4 spliceosomal RNA". Rfam says of the family: U4 small nuclear RNA (U4 snRNA) is a component of the major U2-dependent spliceosome. The structure of U4 snRNA from yeast and human has been reported. The record is from Rfam by way of RNAcentral. Lineage: Eukaryota; Metazoa; Chordata; Mammalia; Chiroptera; Vespertilionidae.